UGAAUACGAGAUGCUACGGCAUUGAAGCAGUGUAUGUCAGACUUCCAAGAAAAGCUCGCAAUGUCAUAAACAAUAAAUGCCUGUACCAUAACCGACACAGGUGGGUAGGUAGAGUAUACUAAGGGGCGCGAGAUAACUCUCUCUAAGGAACUCGGCAAAAUGACUCCGUAACUUCGGGAGAAGGAGUGCCUUAUUUUAUAAGGUUGCAAUAACAAGAUCCAAGCAACUGUUUACCAAAAACACAGGUCUCCGCUAAGUCGAAAGACGAUGUAUGGGGGCUGACGCCUGCCCAGUGCCAGAAGGUUAAAGAAGUUGGUUAGCUUCGGCGAAGCUGAUGACUGAAGCCCUGGUGAACGGCGGCCGUAACAAUAACGGUCCUAAGGUAGCGAGAUUCCUUGUCGGGUAAGUUCCGACCCGCACGAAAGGCGUAAUGAUUUGGAUACUGUCUCGGAGAGGGGCUCGGUGAAAUAGACUUGUCUGUGAAGAUGCGGACUACCUGCACCUGGACAGAAAGACCCUAUGAAGCUUUACUGUAACUUGAGAUUGAAAUUGGACUUUAUUUGCGCAGUAUAGGUGGGAGACGUUGAGAAUAUUCUUGCGGGAAUAUUGGAGUCAUCAGUGAGAUACCACUUGUAAUGUUAGAUUUCUAACUUUGUAUCAUUAUCUGGUCAAAGGACAGUUUCAGGCGGGCAGUUUGACUGGGGCGGUCGCCUCCUAAACGGUAACGGAGGCGCACAAAGGUUUCCUCUGAACGUGUAGAAAUCGUAUCUAGAGUGUAAAGGCAUAAGGAAGCUUGACUGUGAGACCUACAAGUCGAGCAGGGACGAAAGUCGGUCUUAGUGAUCUGACGGUGCUGAGUGGAAAGGCCGUCACUCAACGGAUAAAAGUUACUCUAGGAUAACAGGCUGAUCUCCCCCAAGAGUUCACAUCGACGGGGAGGUUUGGCACCUCGAUGUCGGCUCAUCGCAUCCUGGGGCGGUAGUACGUCCCAAGGGUUGGGCUGUUCGCCCAUGAAAGCGGUACGCGAGCUGGGUUCAGAACGUCGUGAGACAGUUCGGUCCAUAUCCGGUGUAGGCGUUAGAAUAUUGAGAGGAGCCUUCUUUAGUACGAGAGGGCCGAGAAGGACAUACCUCUGGUGUACCAGUUAUCGUGCCAACGGUAAACGCUGGGUAGCUAUGUAUGGAGUGGAUAACCGCUGAAAGCAUCUAAGUGGGAAGCCCACCUCAAGAUAAG
This 1233-nucleotide ribosomal RNA is filed under the name metagenome. Its description in RNAcentral is "bacterial LSU rRNA". It matches the Rfam family "Bacterial large subunit ribosomal RNA", at positions 1564 to 2808 of the family's 2925-position model. The record is from RNAcentral.